RNAcentral lists this long non-coding RNA (377 nucleotides) under Microcebus murinus (gray mouse lemur). RNAcentral's name for it is "lncRNA (ENSMICG00000048839.1)". Lineage: Eukaryota; Metazoa; Chordata; Mammalia; Primates; Cheirogaleidae. The record is from RNAcentral.
UGACUUGUAUGUAUUUCUUUGUCUUUCAGCUGUGUCCUGAGCUCAAUAGUUGGCUCCGUACGAUGAAUCCUCUAUUAAUUAAUGAGUUCAUUAAUCUGAUACUAAAGGAUAAAAGCUUCACAUUUGAUGUCUAAAUAUCCCCAAAGUGAAGGAGCUACGUUUGGACCAAGCCGAAUCAGGUCCUGCUUCCAGGCUCCUCCCCGGAACGUCCUCCCCGCUGCAGGACACCCCCUGCAGCCGCCGCUCGGAAUCGCAUCACCCACCGUGGACUCAAAGACCCCCUACUUCUCUGGGCACGGAGGCUGUUUCCCUGUAGAUCCUCACCAGAACCCAUGCGCUGAUCCCCUGUAAUUUCCCACAAUAAAUUUUUUUUCAGC